This 1058-nucleotide long non-coding RNA is filed under the name Salmo salar (Atlantic salmon). RNAcentral's name for it is "lncRNA (ENSSSAG00000108434.1)". The record is from RNAcentral. Lineage: Eukaryota; Metazoa; Chordata; Actinopteri; Salmoniformes; Salmonidae.
CCCCUCUAACCACUAGGCUACCCCGCCUCCCCUAACCACUAGGCUACCCCGCCUCCCCCUCUAACCACUAGGCUACCCCGCCUCCCCUAACCACUAGGCUACCCCGCCUCCCCUAACCAAUAGGCUACCCCGCCUCCCCUAACCACUAGGCUACCCCGCCUCUCCCCUCUAACCACUAGGCUACCCCUCCUCCCCUAACCACUAGGCUACCCCGCCUCUCCCCUCUAACCACUAGGCUACCCCGCCUCCCCCUCUAACCACUAGGCUACCCCACCUCCCCUAACCACUAGGCUACCCCGCCUCCCCCCUCUAACAACUAGGCUACCUGCCUCCCCUAACCACUAGGCUACCCCACCUCCCCUAACCACUAGGCUACCCCGCAUCCCCUAACCACUAGGCUACCCCGCCAUCCCUAACCACUAGGCUACCCCGCCUCCCCUAACCACUAGGCUACCCCGCCUCCCCUAACCACUAGGCUACCCCACCUCCCCUAACCACUAGGCUACCCCGCCUCCCCUAACCACUAGGCUACCCCGCCUCCCCUAACCACUAGGCUACCCCGCCACCCCUAACCACUAGGCUACCUGCCUCCCCCCUCUAACCACUAGGCUACCCCGCCACCCCUAACCACUAGGCUACCCCGCCUCCCCUAACCACUAGGCUACCCCACCUCCCCUAACCACUAGGCUACCCCGCCACCCCUAACCACUAGGCUACCCCGCCACCCCUAACCACUAGGCUACCCCGCCUCCCCUAACCACUAGGCUACCCCGCCUCCCCUAACCACUAGGCUACCCCGCCUCCCCUAACCACUAGGCUACCCCGCUUCCUCUAACCACUAGGCUACCUGCCUCCCCCCCUCUAACCACUAGGCUACCCCACCUCCCCUAACCACUAGACUACCCCUCCUCCCCUAACCACUAGGCUACCCUGCCACCCCCAAACCACUAGGCUACCUGCCUCCUCUAACAACUAGGCUACCCCGCCUCCCCCUCUAACCACUAGGCUACCCCACCUCCCCUAACCACUAGGCUACCCCACCUCCCCCUAACCACUAG